CCUGUGUGCUGUUUUUUAAGGAACCACUGCUUAUUAAUUGUUUUACCAGUUCUGGCACAGUCCUGGAAAGAGACUCAAGGCUGCAAGCCCUUCCAAAAAUCAAUGAUCCUGGAACCUCUGGAGGAAUUUGUAAAUUUGAAGGGAAAGUCUUUUUCCAUGUCCUGUAAUGUGACUGUGGGAUGCAAACACCAAAGAAAACACUGAACAGCUAUGAUGGGUAGCUACGAACAAGGAACAACUCUCAAGAUCUCAUUCCAGUUCCAAGGAAGAGGAUCAAUUUCUCAUUUUUUUCAGAUUUAGAAUAUUGAAUGAACCGGCUUUUCUUUCAAGAAAAAUUUCAUGUUCCCAAUUUCUUCUCUUCCAAAUAAGAAGCAUAAGCUAGAAGUUAUAUUUUUUCCCUUAAAAUAGUUUUUUAAAUGAUUUUGGGAAAACCAAAAAAGUGGUCAGCACAAAAAUGUUUGGAAUUUAUUUAAAAAGCAUAUAGUUUAGAGUUGACAACAUGAAAGGCAAUUACCUAAGAAUCCAUAUUUGUUCAUGAAACAUG
RNAcentral lists this long non-coding RNA (544 nucleotides) under Dromaius novaehollandiae (emu). RNAcentral describes it as "lncRNA (ENSDNVG00000012815.1)". The record is from RNAcentral. Lineage: Eukaryota; Metazoa; Chordata; Aves; Casuariiformes; Dromaiidae.